AUUGAACGCUCGCGGGAUGCUUUACACAUGCAAGUCGAACGGCAGCGCGGACUUCGGUCUGGCGGCGAGUGGCGAACGGGUGAGUAAUGUAUCGGAACGUGCCCAGUAGCGGGGGAUAACUACGCGAAAGCGUAGCUAAUACCGCAUACGCCCUACGGGGGAAAGCAGGGGAUCGUAAGACCUUGCACUAUUGGAGCGGCCGAUAUCGGAUUAGCUAGUUGGUGAGGUAACGGCUCACCAAGGCGACGAUCCGUAGCUGGUUUGAGAGGACGACCAGCCACACUGGGACUGAGACACGGCCCCGACUCCUACGGGAGGCAGCAGUGGGGAAUUUUGGACAAUGGGGGCAACCCUGAUCCAGCCAUCCCGCGUGUGCGAUGAAGGCCUUCGGGUUGUAAAGCACUUUUGGCAGGAAAGAAACGUCGCGGGCUAAUACCCCGUGGAACUGACGGUACCUGCAGAAUAAGCACCGGCUAACUACGUG
Molecule: ribosomal RNA, 484 nt
Filed under: uncultured bacterium
Lineage: Bacteria
Description: partial 16S ribosomal RNA
Rfam family: Bacterial small subunit ribosomal RNA
Source: RNAcentral